Musa acuminata subsp. malaccensis (wild Malaysian banana) is the source of this 333-nucleotide long non-coding RNA. RefSeq lists it as uncharacterized. The record is from RefSeq and is a predicted model, not a curated record. NCBI's taxonomy places the organism in Eukaryota, Viridiplantae, Streptophyta, Magnoliopsida, Zingiberales, Musaceae.
CGGUGUCCUGAUGCACCGAUGUUCUGGCAAAAGAUUGAAGUCAUUCUUUGUCCAAGCUUCAGGAUGCUCUUUCUUCCAGCCAGUGUGGAGACUCCUGAGAAUCUCAUGCGAGUUUCUCUAUCUCAGAUUUCAGUAGAGAGUUCUCAUGCCGCUCCUGCACCGCCUGUGGGGAACUUACAGUUUCAUGAUAGUUCAAUGUUCAAAAGAUGCGAGAGCAAAUGAAACUGGCUAGUUCUUUGAAUGGGUACCUUGAUCUGGGUUCGUCGAUUUUGAAACCAGAACUUGACCUGCCUGGCAGAAAGGCCUAGCUGCUUGCUCAACUGCUGCCUCUGC